RNAcentral lists this ribosomal RNA (468 nucleotides) under uncultured bacterium. Its description in RNAcentral is "partial 16S ribosomal RNA". It matches the Rfam family "Bacterial small subunit ribosomal RNA", at positions 28 to 507 of the family's 1533-position model. The record is from RNAcentral.
GACGAACGCUGGCGGCGUGCCUAACACAUGCAAGUCGAACGGAAAGGCACUGCUUUUGUGGGCUGCCCGGGGGGCGAACGCGUGAGUAACACGAGAAUAUCCUAACCUUGACUUUGGGAUGACUUCAGGAAACUGGGGCUAAUACCGGACAGGAUCCCACGUACCGUGGAGGGGGGUGGAAAGUUUGGGCGGUUGGGGAUGGACGGGCGGCUGAUCAGCUUGUUGGUGGGGUAGUGGCUUACCAAGGCUUUGACGGGUAGCCGGCCUGAGAGGGUGACCGGCGUCAUUGCGCCUGCGAGACGGACCAGACUCGUAUGGUAGGCAGUAGGGGGAAAUAUUGCACAAUGGUCGCAAGCCUGAUGCAGAAGCGCCGCGUUUGGGAUGCCGUCUUGCGGGUUGAGAACCGCAUUCGCUUAAGACGCAGCUGUUGUGACGGUAACGGGUGAAGAAGCACCGGCUAACUACGUG